RNAcentral lists this ribosomal RNA (492 nucleotides) under uncultured bacterium. RNAcentral describes it as "partial 16S ribosomal RNA". It matches the Rfam family "Bacterial small subunit ribosomal RNA", at positions 30 to 507 of the family's 1533-position model. The record is from RNAcentral.
AUUGAACGCUGGCGGCAUGCUUUACACAUGCAAGUCGAACGGUAACAGGCCUUCGGGUGCUGCCGAGUGGCGAACGGGUGCGUAAUGCAUUGGAACGUACCCAGAGGUGGGGGAUAACGCAGCGAAAGCUGUGCUAAUACCGCAUGUGAUCUGAGGAUGAAAGCGGGGGACCGAGCAGCAAUGUUUGGCCUCGCGCCUUUGGAGCGGCCGAUGUCGGAUUAGCUAGUUGGUGGGGUAAAGGCCUACCAAGGCGACGAUCCGUAGCUGGUCUGAGAGGACGACCAGCCACACUGGGACUGAGACACGGCCCAGACUCCUACGGGAGGCAGCAGUGGGGAAUUUUGGACAAUGGGCGCAAGCCUGAUCCAGCAAUGCCGCGUGCGGGAAGAAGGCCUUCGGGUUGUAAACCGCUUUUGGCAGGAACGAAACGGUGUCCGCUAAUACCGGGCGCUAAUGACGGUACCUGCAGAAUAAGCACCGGCUAACUACGUG